AAAGAUGAACCUCUAGGUGCAGUUAACAUGUGAUACAGUCCUACUAUCGUGGAUCCCUACAGGACGGAGGUCAUGGACAACUCGUCAAACCCCAUCGUCUGUCAUAUGUCAAGAUUUAUUCGACUUGAGUUCGCUAAUGGAAAACUCUUUUUCCACUUUAUAUUACUGCCCUAGCCAAGGUCUUAGAACUCAGUCUAACAAAUAACAUAGGAUCACUCCUCUUCUAUCAAGGUCGAUAGAUUCCUUAUAGGUGCAUACCCUACUCCUACAGUGAACUUACUGCAGCCAAUCUACACUGCAUGGACCCAUAUGGCUAGAGACCAUGUAUGUGUGCAGUCAAACUACAAUAACCUCACUGUGAGUAGCCGAAGCACCGCAGGUCAAUGGACCAGUCA
This 395-nucleotide long non-coding RNA is filed under the name Phoenix dactylifera (date palm). RNAcentral describes it as "long non-coding RNA (PDAC_LNC022579)". Lineage: Eukaryota; Viridiplantae; Streptophyta; Magnoliopsida; Arecales; Arecaceae. The record is from RNAcentral.